UAAAUAUUUAUGGUUUAAAAAUUUAUUAUAAAUUUAUUUUACAUAUAAAUUUUAGUGUUGAAUUUUAAUUAUUUAAAUAAUAUUUAAAUUAGGAUGUUAAUAGUAAUUAAAAUUAAAAAUUUAAGAAAUUAAGAUUUAGUAAUAUUUAAAUUAAUAACUAAUUUUGUGCCAGCAGUUGCGGUUAUACAAAAAUUAAAUUAAAUUUUUAUUAAUAAUUAAUUAAUAUAAUUAUUUAUAAAAUUAAAUUUUAAAUUAUUAAGUGAAAUUUUAAUUUAUAAAAAUUUUAUAUAAAUUUAUGAAUUAAAAAAUUUUAUAAAAAACUAGGAUUAGAUACCCUAUUAUAAAAAUUUAAAUUAAAAAUAUUAAAGUAGUAAAUAAUUGUUUAUUGAAAUUUAAAUAAUUUGGCGGUAUUUUAGUUUAUUUAGAGGGAUCUGUUUAUUAAUUGAUAAUCCACGAAUAAAUUUACUUAAUUUAUAAAUUUUGUAUAUCGUUGUUAAAAAAAUAUUUUUAAUUAAAAAUAAUAUUUUAAUUUUUUAAUUAAAAAUUAAAUCAGAUCAAGAUGCAGAUUAUAAUUAAGAAUAUAAUGGAUUACAAUAAAUUUAUUUAAAUGAAUAUUAAUUUGGAAUAAUUAAUUGAAGGUGGAUUUAAAUGUAAUUUUAUUUAAUUUAUUAAAAUGAUUUUUAAUUAAAAUAUGUACAUAUUGCCCGUCGCUUUCAUUUAUAAAUUGAAAUAAGUCGUAACAAAGUAGAGGUACUGGAAAGUGUUUCUAGAAAGAC
This 776-nucleotide non-coding RNA is filed under the name Ocinara albicollis. Lineage: Eukaryota; Metazoa; Arthropoda; Insecta; Lepidoptera; Bombycidae. The record is from RNAcentral.